Long non-coding RNA from Mytilus trossulus (common blue mussel), 560 nucleotides. RefSeq lists it as uncharacterized. The record is from RefSeq and is a predicted model, not a curated record. The transcript has 6 exons. Lineage: Eukaryota; Metazoa; Mollusca; Bivalvia; Mytilida; Mytilidae.
UUCAGAUAGUGUUAAAAGUUCACUAGGAUCCACCAAACUGAAUAUCAAGUUAUAUAUCUAAAGAUCUUGUAGGAUAUAUGACCGAAAGUAUGGAGAAUGCUGCAGACACUGACCGAAGAAAUAUGCAAAUGUCAAUCCAAAUGUUUACUUUUUGGAAUGAGAUGAGAUAUGUGUUCUAAUAGAGACUACCAGUUUAAAAAGAAGUUAACAAUAAACCACCCUAUACGAGGUAGAACAUACGUCAUAAGGUACCAACCUGCUACCGAUACAGGCUGUCAGUAGGUUUGCUUGUGAUUUUACCUUGAGUUGCUGAUUUCAAUGAAAAUUUUAGGCUGAGAAUAGCAAAUGUGAAAGAGAUACCCGAAAUUGAAGACCUGUCAGUUAAAGACCCACCAAGAUGAACUUGUCGAGAAGGGAUAAUAUUCAUAUAUUGACUACAAAGAUGUAAUUAUGGAAGGCUCUUUAUGAAAACAAAAGUUGAUGUCAGUCAUUAGUAUUGUGUAUAGUGCCAUGGAAGACCAAAUAUAUCUACAGACUGGAUCAAAUCAGUCUCAAGAGGU